Molecule: ribosomal RNA, 253 nt
Filed under: uncultured bacterium
Lineage: Bacteria
Description: partial 16S ribosomal RNA
Rfam family: Bacterial small subunit ribosomal RNA
Source: RNAcentral
UACGAAGGGGGCUAGCGUUGCUCGGAAUCACUGGGCGUAAAGCGCACGUAGGCGGAUUGCUAAGUCAGGGGUGAAAUCCUGGAGCUCAACUCCAGAACUGCCUUUGAUACUGGCGACCUUGAGUCCGGGAGAGGUGAGUGGAACUGCGAGUGUAGAGGUGAAAUUCGUAGAUAUUAGGAAGAACACCAGUGGCGAAGGCGGCUCACUGGAUCGGUACUGACGCUGAGGUGCGAAAGCGUGGGGAGCAAACAGG